ACUACGGGAGGCUGCAGUGGGGAAUAUUGCACAAUGGGCGCAAGCCUGAUGCAGCCAUGCCGCGUGUGUGAAGAAGGCCUUCGGGUUGUAAAGCACUUUCAGCGGGGAGGAAGGCGUUAAGGUUAAUAACCUUGGCGAUUGACGUUACCCGCAGAAGAAGCACGGGCUAACUCCGUGCCAGCAGCCGCGGUAAUACGGAGGGUGCAAGCGUUAAUCGGAAUUACUGGGCGUAAAGCGCACGCAGGCGGUCUGUCAAGUCGGAUGUGAGAUCCCCGGGCUCAACCUGGGAACUGCAUUCGAAACUGGCAGGCUAGAGUCUUGUAGAGGGGGGUAGAAUUCCAGGUGUAGCGGUGAAAUGCGUAGAGAUCUGGAGGAAUACCGGUGGCGAAGGCGGCCCCCUGGACAAAGACUGACGCUCAGGUGCGAAAGCGUGGGGAGCAAACAGGAUUAGAUACCCCAGUAGUC
Molecule: ribosomal RNA, 465 nt
Filed under: uncultured Klebsiella sp.
Lineage: Bacteria; Pseudomonadati; Pseudomonadota; Gammaproteobacteria; Enterobacterales; Enterobacteriaceae
Description: bacterial SSU rRNA
Rfam family: Bacterial small subunit ribosomal RNA
Source: RNAcentral